RNAcentral lists this ribosomal RNA (450 nucleotides) under uncultured bacterium. RNAcentral's name for it is "partial 16S ribosomal RNA". It matches the Rfam family "Bacterial small subunit ribosomal RNA", at positions 354 to 796 of the family's 1533-position model. The record is from RNAcentral.
GUGGGGAAUAUUGGACAAUGGGCGAAAGCCUGAUCCAGCCAUGCCGCGUGUGUGAAGAAGGUCUUCGGAUUGUAAAGCACUUUAAGUUGGGAGGAAGGGCAGUAAGUUAAUACCUUGCUGUUUUGACGUUACCGACAGAAUAAGCACCGGCUAACUUCGUGCCAGCAGCCGCGGUAAUACGAAGGUGGCAAGCGUUAAUCGGAAUUACUGGGCGUAAAGCGCGCGUAGGUGGUUUUGUAAGUUGGAGGUGAAAUCCCCGGGCUCAACCUGGGAACUGUCUCCAAAACUGCAUGACUAGAGUACGGUAGAGGGUAGUGGAAUUUCCUGUGUAGCGGUGAAAUGCGUAGAUAUAGGAAGGAACACCAGUGGCGAAGGCGACUACCUGGACUGAUACUGACACUGAGGUGCGAAAGCGUGGGGAGCAAACAGGAUUAGAAACCCUUGUAGUCC